GCAAGUCGAACGCUGAAGCCUGGUGCUUGCACCGGGUGGAUGAGUGGCGAACGGGUGAGUAACACGUGAGUAACCUGCCCCUGACUUCGGGAUAAGCCCGGGAAACUGGGUCUAAUACCGGAUACGACUGCCGGACGCAUGUCUGGUGGUGGAAAGUUUUUUCGGUUGGGGAUGGGCUCGCGGCCUAUCAGUUUGUUGGUGAGGUAAUGGCUCACCAAGACGACGACGGGUAGCCGGCCUGAGAGGGCGACCGGCCACACUGGGACUGAGACACGGCCCAGACUCCUACGGGAGGCAGCAGUGGGGAAUAUUGCACAAUGGGGGAAACCCUGAUGCAGCGACGCAGCGUGCGGGAUGACGGCCUUCGGGUUGUAAACCGCUUUCAGCAGGGAAGAAGCGCAAGUGACGGUACCUGCAGAAGAAGUACCGGCUAACUACGUGCCAGCAGCCGCGGUAAUACGUAGGGUACGAGCGUUGUCCGGAAUUAUUGGGCGUAAAGAGCUCGUAGGUGGUUGGUCACGUCUGCUGUGGAAACGCAACGCUUAACGUUGCGCGUGCAGUGGGUACGGGCUGACUAGAGUGCAGUAGGGGAGUCUGGAAUUCCUGGUGUAGCGGUGAAAUGCGCAGAUAUCAGGAGGAACACCGGUGGCGAAGGCGGGACUCUGGGCUGUAACUGACACUGAGGAGCGAAAGCAUGGGGAGCGAACAGGAUUAGAUACCCUGGUAGUCCAUGCCGUAAACGUUGGGCACUAGGUGUGGGGGGCAUUCCACGUUCUCCGCGCCGUAGCUAACGCAUUAAGUGCCCCGCCUGGGGAGUACGGUCGCAAGGCUAAAACUCAAAGGAAUUGACGGGGGCCCGCACAAGCGGCGGAGCAUGCGGAUUAAUUCGAUGCAACGCGAAGAACCUUACCAAGGCUUGACAUACACCGGACCGUCCUGGAAACAGGUCCUCUUCUUUGAAGCUGGUGUACAGGUGGUGCAUGGUUGUCGUCAGCUCGUGUCGUGAGAUGUUGGGUUAAGUCCCGCAACGAGCGCAACCCUCGUUCUAUGUUGCCAGCACGUGAUGGUGGGAACUCAUAGGAGACUGCCGGGGUCAACUCGGAGGAAGGUGGGGAUGACGUCAAAUCAUCAUGCCCUUUAUGUCUUGGGCUUCACGCAUGCUACAAUGGCUGGUACAGAGAGAGGCGAACCCGUGAGGGCAAGCGAAUCCCUUAAAGCCAGUCUCAGUUCGGAUCGUAGUCUGCAAUUCGACUACGUGAAGUCGGAGUCGCUAGUAAUCGCAGAUCAGCAACGCUGCGGUGAAUACGUUCCCGGGCCUUGUACCCACCGCCCGU
RNAcentral lists this ribosomal RNA (1334 nucleotides) under Brevibacterium casei. RNAcentral describes it as "bacterial SSU rRNA". It matches the Rfam family "Bacterial small subunit ribosomal RNA", at positions 57 to 1397 of the family's 1533-position model. Lineage: Bacteria; Bacillati; Actinomycetota; Actinomycetes; Micrococcales; Brevibacteriaceae. The record is from RNAcentral.